Non-coding RNA from Acanthosepion pharaonis, 105 nucleotides. The record is from the annotation of a GenBank genome assembly. Lineage: Eukaryota; Metazoa; Mollusca; Cephalopoda; Sepiida; Sepiidae.
GCCACAUCACGUUGAAACAUCGGUUCCUGUACAAUCACCGAAGUUAAGCAACAUCGAGUUUGGUCAGUACCUAGAUGAAUGACCUCUUGGGAAUACUAGGUGAAG